This is a long non-coding RNA of Melospiza melodia melodia, 2857 nucleotides long. RefSeq lists it as uncharacterized. The record is from RefSeq and is a predicted model, not a curated record. NCBI's taxonomy places the organism in Eukaryota, Metazoa, Chordata, Aves, Passeriformes, Passerellidae. The transcript has 2 exons.
CGUGUGUGCGGUGCCGUGAGCGGCGGCAGCGGCCGGAGCGCGGUGAGGCGGCGGCGGAGCUCGGAGGCGGCCGCAGCGCAGCCUCUGGAAGAAAUCUACUCUGCAGGGGAUUCCAUUGUGAUUCGAUUCCAUACAGAUGACGCCAUCAACAAGAAAGGAUUUCAUGCCUGAUACAUAAGUACCAAAUUUCAGGAUGCAUUGCACAUGAAAAAAUAGUUUGACUGCUCCUCACAGAUAUUCCCCAUCUGAAGAUUGAGACCUUUAACUGUGAUCUUUGUCUUUUAUUUUUAAAGCUUCUGUGCACUUGGCCAAAAGCAGUGUACAUUAUUUUCUAACUAAAACUAAAUCCAGUCUCAAAGGUUUGCCUCUGCAAUUAUUAGCAUGACCCUUUCUUGUUAACCUACCCAGGACCAAAAAACUGUCUUUUAAUCAUACCUGCCAGGGCAUAAACAUUGUAUUUUGCACCACUUGCUAUGGGGCUGAAUGAAGACUGAACUUGAAUUGAGAAUAGCCUUCAUCUCUUGCAUAUCUUGUUUCUAGGUGACAUUUUCCAAGCAUCCACAUGAGCUGUCUGGAGCAAGUGUUUUGGACAGACAUCCAGUAGGAUUUUUUCAAAGGACUUUGUGAGCCACACCCUACCUGCCCCAACUACUCUGUGCAAUAAGAGACCAACCAGAUGGCUGUGCCUGCAUCACUCUUUCUGUCCUCUCUAUUAUUGUCUUGCUUACUUUGAGUGGAGAGCAAGGCAAGGGACAGGGACAGUCUCUUCUAGCUACUUGGAUUCCAGGGAAUGAGGAGGACCCAGUAGUUGGUUUGUAGUAAUUGUCAUGGUGUAUGUUGAAUGGAAAUACUUCAAUGCAGUGCUCAAGGCAAGGGUGGUGGCUGACAGGGAAAUGUUGUGGUGAGAUGCAAGACGAAGAUAUGUGAUGGUGGCAAAGCUUAGUGUUGACAGCCUGCCCCAGUUAUAUCACCAUGCAUGGCAGCUCAGAGGGCGGUGGCAGCAGUCCAGGCCCUGUCUUAAAUAAGGAGUCUCUCCUUCUCACUCCACCCAUGCUUGCUUUCUCAGCCUUCUUUACACUGCUUCCUUUCCAUACUACCACUUCCCUGUGAGCUCUUCCUUUACACAGUGGAGCUGCUCUCCCCAGGGCUGCCUACCACAACCUAGGAGUGCUGUGCAACUUCAGCUGGCCAGAACAUCUCGCUGAAGAAAACACUGGGGCAGGGGAAGUCAGGGUGUCCCUGAGGCAGAGGGACACAGGCCAUGCUACAGGUCAGGUUUGGUGAUCUCUGGGAACCUGUCAAACUUGCAAGCUGCAGGUAUGGGGCUAGAAAUGGAAGAGUUCUGGUUUCUGCUUCCUCCCCAUUUGUCACUGGUGCUGGCCCAGUCUCUUAACUUCAUGGCAAGGGUGCAAGUGAGAUGGUGACUUAAGAGUUAUAAGGCUCAGACAUGUUCUUGUUUGCCUGUGAGAGCUACCCAGCCACAGGCUUGAAGAAUUAACAGUAGCUUGGUGCUUCUUUCAGAAAAAAAAAAAAAAAAGGAAAAGUAUGUUUUGGGGGAACCACUGUAACUGAGCAGUUGGCAUGGGAGGAAAAAAAAAUACUUCAUUCUGAAUGUUUCGUUAAGGCACUCAUGGGCAAUUAUGAGCUAAAAGCUGAGGUAUGUUAGCUUUAAUAAAGUAUUUAUAAUCCAAGGAUUGCUAUGUUUACAUGACCAUUGUGCUGUCAGGCUUAGGAGUGGCACCUCUUCUCUUGCAUAUGACUGUGGAGAGGUGUGGGGCCAGUGCCACUGUCUGGCACAAACAACAUUCCUGGAGAUAAGGGCAUUUUCAGAUGGAUAAUAAAUAGACCUAGCCCUCUCCAGAAGUCCUUGAAUAGAAUAUGGGCCAAGUAUUGUGAAUACUAGGAGAAGCAAAUGCAUGAAAAUAUUUUCUUGCUUAGAUCAAGAAAAGUAAAGUAAUUUAUGCCUACUCACAGAGGAUUAUUUGUAUAUAAAAUGUGCAUGUAGAAGACCAGUAGUCCAAGCCUUUAAUAAGUGUAAUGUGAACAAUACUGUACCAUGGACUGUAGCUUUAUUGCAGGCUGUAUAAAAUCAUGUUAUCUCUGUUUUGAUUUUGGUUUUUUGGUUUGAUUUAUUUUAGCUCUGCUUUGUUUAUCUUUUCAAAUUUUCUGGCCUUUUUACAGUUAAGACCUCUGAUCUCAGGCUUUUUGACCAUGCAGGUCUGGAGAAGUAAGCUCUGCUAGAUGGGGUGUGCAUCUCUUCUUUGCUUCAGUUCAAGCAAAAUUACAUUAACUCAGGUCUGGAAAUAAAAGUGUGACAUCAAUCCCUGUGAAACAGAAGCAAAGUUUCAGGUGACAAGCAGCAGUUCCAGUUUCCUGACCUUUUAGUGGCAGCAGUGACUCUAGAGGAGAGUGAGUGUAGCAGGUUCCCAUGUACUUUAACAUCUUUUUUUCCAUGUUCUGGUAAUUUCCCAUACAACCCAGACUGGUUGGAUGCAGAUGCUUGCAAUGUCGUUUGACUGAUCUAUGACACUUGUUAGUGUUCAUCCAGGUGUCUUUUGUGACAGUGUGUUCACAAAUGUUGUUCUGUGCAUUCCAACCAAUGAUCCAUGUAGAAUAUUUCUGCUGUACUGACUGGACUUUACAGUCAAUAAUUCUAAACGAGUGAAAUUUUCUUAAGAAAAACAAUGUCAAACCCUCUGAUUGUCAAGAUGUAUUCUGGUCUUUGUGUGGUUUUACAUUUCACUUACUGAAAUAAUUUUUAGAGGGGGAGAAGAAGAGGGCGUGGGGACAAUCACAAAAGUACCUGUGUCCAGAACAAGUCUCUGCAUUCAUUAAAGACUGUGGAUUCAGUUGUGCA